UAGAACGCUAGCUACAGGCUUAACACAUGCAAGUCGGAGGGGCAGCUAUUUUUAGUUUUGCUUGCAAACUGAAGAUGGCGACCGGCGCACGGGUGAGUAACACGUAUCCAACCUGCCGAUAACUCCGGGAUAGCCUUUUCGAAAGAAAGAUUAAUACCGGAUGGCAUACGAAUAUUGCAUGAUAACACCAUUAAAGAUUUAUUGGUAAACGAUGGGGAUGCGUUCCAUUAGGUAGUAGGCGGGGUAACGGCCCACCUAGCCUGCGAUGGAUAGGGGUUCUGAGAGGAAGGUCCCCCACAUUGGAACUGAGACACGGUCCAAACUCCUACGGGAGGCAGCAGUGAGGAAUAUUGGUCAAUGGACGAGAGUCUGAACCAGCCAAGUAGCGUGCAGGAUGACGGCCCUAUGGGUUGUAAACUGCUUUUAUAAGGGAAUAAAGUGAGUCUCGUGAGGCUUUUUGCAUGUACCUUAUGAAUAAGGACCGGCUAAUUCCGUG
Molecule: ribosomal RNA, 496 nt
Filed under: uncultured bacterium
Lineage: Bacteria
Description: bacterial SSU rRNA
Rfam family: Bacterial small subunit ribosomal RNA
Source: RNAcentral